UUGAAAUUUGUUAAUUGAUAAAAUUUUAUAUACAACACACUUACCAUAAUUUAUAUAUCGCAUACUUUUUAAUACUUUAGGAAGAAGAAGAAUUUCGAACACAUUUACUCUGUUUUAAGCAUAAAAUGAAAAACAUGGUUUGGACUAAAGGUACAAAUGGAUUAGAAGGAGAAUUUCAAUGUGGUUCUGAAGUUGAUUUUUUCAUAGACAAAGAUAUGGUGCACAUUGCUGACACAAAAGUUGCAAGAAGAUAUGGAGAUUUCUUUAUUAGACAAACUUUAAAAUUUGAAGAACUUUAUCACAAGAUUAAUAAUUUACAAUUAUAAAUGUACUGGUAUUAUUCAAAAUCAAAUAAUUUGGAAGAAUGGUAUACAUGUGAAAUAUCUUUCUUUUUUUCAAUAAAGAUAUAAUGUUCUAAAUA
This is a long non-coding RNA of Centruroides sculpturatus (bark scorpion), 421 nucleotides long. RefSeq lists it as uncharacterized. The transcript is spliced from 4 exons. The record is from RefSeq and is a predicted model, not a curated record. NCBI's taxonomy places the organism in Eukaryota, Metazoa, Arthropoda, Arachnida, Scorpiones, Buthidae.